GAUGAACGCUGGCGGCGUGCCUAAUACAUGCAAGUCGAGCGAAUGGAUUAAGAGCUUGCUCUUAUGAAGUUAGCGGCGGACGGGUGUGUAACACGUGGGUAACCUGCCCAUAAGACUGGGAUAACUCCGGGAAACCGGGGCUAAUACCGGAUAACAUUUUGAACCGCAUGGUUCGAAAUUGAAAGGCGGCUUCGGCUGUCACUUAUGGAUGGACCCGCGUCGCAUUAGCUAGUUGGUGAGGUAACGGCUCACCAAGGCAACGAUGCGUAGCCGACCUGGGAGGGUGAUCGGCCAGACUGGGACUGAGACACGGCCCAGACUCCUACGGGAGGCAGAAGUAGGGAAUCUUCCGCAAUGGACGAAAGUCUGACGGAGCAACGCCGCGUGAGUGAUGAAGGCUUUCGGGUCGUAAAACUCUGUUGUUAGGGAAGAACAAGUGCUAGUUGAAUAAGCUGACACCUUGACGGUACCUAACCAGAAAGCCACGGCUAACUACGUGCCAGCCGCCGCGGUAA
This 515-nucleotide ribosomal RNA is filed under the name uncultured bacterium. Its description in RNAcentral is "partial 16S ribosomal RNA". It matches the Rfam family "Bacterial small subunit ribosomal RNA", at positions 28 to 523 of the family's 1533-position model. The record is from RNAcentral.